AACGACAAAGGGAAAGCAACCCUAGUUGCUGUCCUCAUUUCCAGCAGCCACACAAAACCCUUAGAAGAUCCGAGCUCGAGUGGAGCACGGUGACCUGCCGAUACUCGGAGAUUUUUUGCUGUAUAUAAGUUUUGCAGACACAGGGAUCCUUUUGAUAUUACUGUUGAUUUUGGACUUUCGUAGAGUUGCUCAGAGAUCUCGACGUGCUGAUUUUCUGGCAAUGCCACGAGCCCGUGGUCGCGGUUGGGGCAGUAGCCGUGCCCGUAGUCGCAGUCGUGGUCGCGACAGUGGUAGUGGUCGCGGUCGUGGUCGUGCAUGUCAGCGUGCCACUACUACUGAUCUUGGUUUGGAUGAGGCUCCUAUCUCCCCAUCUGAGUUGAUACCGGGAGCUCAGGUUGGUCCCAGUAUUGGAGUCGGUGGUCAGACUGAGGGACAACCUCAUCUUGUUGCAGCUCAGGUAGCCGUACCAGCCAUUCCUACAGCAUCGUUUAUUAUGGAAAAGGCCCGUAUUCCUUUGCUUGCUAGUUCAGCAAAGGAUCGUUUUACGCUGUUCCAUGGAGGCACCGAUCCUUGGGUGGCGCGUACAUGG
This is a long non-coding RNA of Zingiber officinale, 589 nucleotides long. RefSeq lists it as uncharacterized. The record is from RefSeq and is a predicted model, not a curated record. NCBI's taxonomy places the organism in Eukaryota, Viridiplantae, Streptophyta, Magnoliopsida, Zingiberales, Zingiberaceae. The transcript is spliced from 4 exons.